RNAcentral lists this long non-coding RNA (5037 nucleotides) under Brassica napus (rape). RNAcentral describes it as "long non-coding RNA (BNAP_LNC026036)". Lineage: Eukaryota; Viridiplantae; Streptophyta; Magnoliopsida; Brassicales; Brassicaceae. The record is from RNAcentral.
CUUCUUUUUGGCUAUCUGAAGCGUUGUGUCUACUACAGUCUGCUGCUAACGUGAUCGAAGAUGGUGAUAGUCUUAAAGCAGUAUCUCUGCAGGGAGAUGAGCCAAGAAGAAAAGAUCUUCAAUCUGUCUCCAACAAGCUCUGGAAUUUCUAUUUUUCUAAGCGACAGGAAAAACCUCCGGGAAGUUCUUGGCUACCACAAUCGAUCAUCAUGUGGGACACCCUUAAGUGCUCUCUAAUUUCAAUGGAAAUUGUGACUCGUUGUGCGAAGAAUACAAUGCUUCCUGUCUAUGGUAUUGACUCCUUGUAUGAAGAGUUUAAAACCUCUAAGGGAAUUGCUUUGUCACUCUUAUUACGAGUGGUACAGAGCACCCGGACAAAGAAUGCUUUACAUGUUCGUCAGAGAUUUAUGGGUAUGAAAUAUCUUGCGGAGUCUAUAUGCUCUGGAAUCUCAAGUACUUCUUCAAGCAGCAUAAAGUAUGCAACACAUGAACAUCGGGAUUUAUCAAGAUCAUGGUUGAUACUCAUGACCUUUACUCAAGGAAUGAAUCGUAUAAAAAGAGAGACUGGAAUCCAUAUUGAAGACGAAAAUGAGUAUAUGCAUUUAUUCUUUGUUUUGGGUCAUUCAAUAGCUGUUAUUCACUCUCUGUUGGUUACUGGUACAUAUUCUGCUGCCAAUGAUGAAGAAAUAGAAAAUGAGGGAACCACCAAGGCAGGACUUGACAAGUGUGAUGGAGAUGGAAAAAGGUAUGCAAAAGUUGGGAGAUUGUCUCAUGAAGAUUCGGUAUGUACUGCAAUGGUAAGCAGCAGCUCCUCUGAUAGCUCGAUAGCCUCUGAAGUCAACAAAAUUGACCCUUUCCGUGCGCGGCUUCCUUCUUCUGCCAUAUGGUUGAUACGCGAGUGUUUGAAAGUUCUGGAGACAUGCUUAGAAGAUGAUGAAGGUAUAUCAAAAUUUCUUUGCAGAAACGUCUCUGGCAGCACGAUGUCAUGGCCAAAGAGAAAUUUUUCAAAGGUUGAAAUUGGAAGAAGUGUAUCCAGUAGUCUUGCCAGUUCUAGCAGAGAUCCGAGUACUGGCUUAUCACCUCUAUGCGGCGAUAUACAAACAAAUCUUACCUUGGAUAAUGUUGAUGGGUCGAAUGGGGAGGUUCAGACAGAUGUGAAGGCUUACUCUAGGAGAGUAUCUUGCAACUCUUCCUAUCCGAAUGCAUCCGGAGUACAUAUACUUGGUCUGUGUGAUUGGCCGGACAUCCAAUACGAUGUGAGCUCUCAGCCCAUAUCAGUUCAUCUACCGUUACACCGGUUACUAUCUUUGCUCUUACAAAAAGCAUUAGAGAGGUGUUAUGGAGAAUCGGCAUUGCACCAUGGAGUUAAUGUUAGUCAUGAGAUCCCACAGGCUGACUUCUUCAGCUACGUGAUAGGAGAUUUCCAUCCUUAUGGAUUUUCUGCACUUGUUAUGGAGCAUGUGCUCCGCAUUAGGGUAUUCUGUGCCCAAGUUAUUGCUGGAAUGUGGAAGAAGAAUGCGGAUUCUGCGUUAGUAACUUGCGAGUGGUAUCGGUCAGUUCGCUGGUAUGUGAAAGAAUACUAUUGUUAUCAUGAAGCGCUGUAGUUCAUCAUUCACUCGCAUGUUUUUCAUUUUAGUUGUUUCCAUUUACAGGUCAGAACAGGGACUUGAGCUUGAUCUAUUUCUUCUGCAGUGUUGUGGUGCGUUGGCUCCCGCAGAUUCUUAUGUUAAUAAGCUUCUCGACCGAUUUGGGCUCUCGAGCUAUCUUUCACUAAACCCCAAUAUGACAAAUGAGUAUGUAGCUAUUGUCCUCUUACUGCUAAUCGUUCUCAGUACAUGGUUUAAAAGUUCUGCUACAUCAAUCUGUCAAGUUAUCGCGUACAGUAUGAUUCUCUUCAUUUAACAGAAGCAUAUUGUCUCUAAUUAUUGAAGUAUAUCGUCUUUAAUUAAUUAUAUUACUCUGUAAGUCUUCUCUGUUUCGUAUUUAUAUAUUGCUAGAUGGUCAGUUUUUUUUUUCUUGAACACAAUGCUAGAUGGUUACUUAAAACGACCCUCUUGUAUCUAAAAUUUUUAUUAUUAUUAGUCUUUCUUGCCUGGUUUUGACAUUUAUUCUGAUCAUAAAAUUCUUUUCAGGUAUGAAGCAGUUUUGGUCCAGGAAAUGCUUGCUCUUCUGAUACAGAUCCUGCAAGAAAGGCGAUUUUGUGGUCUUUCUACUGUUGAAAGUUUGAGAAGAGAGAUCAUAUUCAAGUUAGCCACUGGAGAUUUCACUCAUAGUCAAUUGGUCAAAUCUUUACCCCGUGACCUGUCCAAGUCGGAUGAGCUCCAGGAGGUCUUAGACAACGUUUCAGUAUAUUGUAAUCCAUCCGGCAUGAACCAGGCAUUGAUUCAAAUCCAUAUACUGGCCUCACCCUUAAGUUGACACACAAUGUAAAACUCACGUGACGUUAGUUCUUUGGCAGGGAAAGUAUUCACUACGGUCAUCUUGUUGGAAGGAAUUGGAUCUCUACCACCCUCGUUGGCAUUCGAGAGAGUUGCAAUCUGCAGAAGAAAGAUUUUCACGCUAUUGUGGAGUGUCUGCGGUGACCACUCAGCUUCCUAGGUGGAGAAUGAUCUAUCCGCCGCUAAAGGGACUUUCUAGAAUCGGCACUUGCAAAGCCACAUUUCAGAUCAUUUGCUCAACUUUAUACUACGCACUACAGAGUGGUUCAUCUGUUAAAUCACGCGCUCAAGAUGGCGUUCUCAUAAGUGCAUUGCACUUACUCUCGUUAUCAUUGGAUAUUUGCACUCAGCAAAGGGGAUCUAAUAUUCAGGCUUGUUGCGUAGAAGAUUCUAUUCCGAUUCUCGAAUUAGCUGGUCUAGAAAUAAUUGGUCUAAAUCAAGGGACUGGAAAAGAAAGUUUGUUGUCUCUUCUUGUUUCAUUAAUGAGGACCCGUGAAGGCGAUGGUCUCCAUCAAUUUCCAGAGGCUGGCAGUUGUAAUAUUUCAUCCUGGAUUGGAAACUUGCUGAAGAAGUUCAGUGAAAUUGAUUCUGUUUGUAUGAACCUAUUGCAAAGUCUUGCCCCGGAGGUGGUCGGUCACUCUGGCUUUGACAAAGCCAUAUCAGGCUCUGCUUCUGAUGACACACGCAAGGCUAAAGCUAGAGAGAGGCAGGCUGCUAUUCUGGUAAGAUUUUUAAGUUUCAACUCUGUCUCCGGAUGUUUAUUAACUGGAAGCCUGCAUGUAGUAAUAUAUUUUUAUUUUUUUGGUAUAAGACAGUCUAGAUCGUUUAAAUGUUCAUUAUUUAACUUAUUAUCUACAGUAAUAAUUGAUAAGAUCCAGGAUAAACUAGUUAUGGGUAUUCUAACUUGGAUGCAGGCAAAAAUGAAAGCUGAACAAUCAAAAUUCUUGUCUACCUUGAGUUCCAGCAUGGAUGAUGAUGAUCUAAGAUCUGAAACUGAAACAAGUGAUUCCGUAGUGGAACAGGAUUCAGAAAUUGCUAUUCGUGAAGUUUGCUCCUUCUGCCAUGACCCAGAUUCCAAAGACCCGGUUUCUUUCUUGAUUUUUCUCCAGGUUAGUAGCGUGGAUGAUGCUAUUAUUUGUGAUUUUUAAUGUUAAAUAAACGUAUACUCCGAGGAAGUUUUGUUUUGUAUCCUUAAUAAUUUCUUUUCCUACCUGCAGAAAUCUAAACUUUUGAGUUUUGUGAAUAGAGGCCCUCCAUCUUUGGAUCAAUGUCCACAAUCUGAAAAGAAGAUACCCAUGGAUGAAGCUCCCGAUCUCCAGAGAAUAAAUGUUUCCUCAGACAGUUUAAGAAUGAUUCCUCAUGUGCUGCAGCUGUCAGAUGAUGCAACCUCCGAGUCUGCUACAGAUUCUGUGCUUGAGGCUUUAACAGCCCGGCUUUUAGGGAAUGGUCAGAAGGAGAAGAGGUCUAGCGAUGGGAGGGGAAAAGAUGAAUCUAACUUGGAGUCAUUGGAGACAGCUAUGUAUCAAACUGUUCGCAAAAAAACUGAAAACAUGAUAAAUCAAAGCCUUACACAUGUAAAUCAUCGACAGCCUGAUUCUGAAAGUAGUUCGGAGAGGAGUUCCGUUGGUGGUCUAUCUACUUUGCAUAGGUUUCAAGAUAUUCGAUCAAAACAAACCUCCAGAUAUCUGGAUGUCAGUGCAGAUGGGUUUCACCCUGCCGACUGUGAUGGGGUUUAUCUUUCAUCAUGUGGACAUGCUGUGCAUCAAAGCUGUCUUGAACGAUAUUUAAACUCGUUAAAAGAAAGGUGAGACAUGGUGAACCCUUUUUCAUUCAUGUCGAUAUCUCCGUCCCACCUGUUGCUUGCUUGAUUCACAUUUGUGAUGUUAACAUUGCAUUUAAAAUCUCUUUUUCUUUGUUUGGAUGGUGUAGGUCUGACAGAAGAAAUGUUUUUGAAGGUGCACAUAUAGUGGAUCUUGUACAGGUAUUUAUAUGACCAGUUUAGAUAUAUUUUAUGGGGUUUUAAUGUGCUCCUUCUGAAGCUUCAUCACUGUUUCUUCUUUCAGGGAGAAUUUCUCUGUCCUGCAUGCCGCCGACUAGCUAAUUCUGUGUUGCCUGCAUGUCCUGGAGACUUGUGUUCUGUAUCAAAGCUACAAGAAAGUUUGCAUGCUAAGUUAGGUAGAUUAGAUGAACAUAUACCUUCUUUUUGGCUAUCUGAAGCGUUGUGUCUACUACAGUCUGCUGCUAACGUGAUCGAAGAUGGUGAUAGUCUUAAAGCAGUAUCUCUGCAGGGAGAUGAGCCAAGAAGAAAAGAUCUUCAAUCUGUCUCCAACAAGCUCUGGAAUUUCUAUUUUUCUAAGCGACAGGAAAAACCUCCGGGAAGUUCUUGGCUACCACAAUCGAUCAUCAUGUGGGACACCCUUAAGUGCUCUCUAAUUUCAAUGGAAAUUGUGACUCGUUGUGCGAAGAAUACAAUGCUUCCUGUCUAUGGUAUUGACUCCUUGUAUGAAGAGUUUAAAACCUCUAAGGGAAUUGCUUUGUCACUCUUAUUACGAGUGGUACAGAGCACCCGGACAAAGAAUGCUUUACAUGUUCGUCAGAG